Molecule: long non-coding RNA, 2532 nt
Organism: Melospiza georgiana
Lineage: Eukaryota; Metazoa; Chordata; Aves; Passeriformes; Passerellidae
Exons: 5
Source: RefSeq, a predicted model, not a curated record
UCCCGGUGGGGCGGCCGCCCUCGGGCUGGCGGAGGCGCCGGAGGAGCCCCCGAGCUGCAGCCGUCUCCCUCGGGCUGCUGCCGGUGCUGCGGGCGGAGGCGGCUCCGCCGCGUGUUGGGCGCUGCGAGCAGGGAGCGCUGCGGUAUCGCCGGCAUGACGGGGCUGCUGCCUGCGUUAGUGCUCGUGGCUCUUUGUGCCGUGACAGCGGAUGGAGCGGCGCUGGGCGGUAAAGCCAGAGAUGGCCGGGAGAAUGCCCAGCGCAGGGAGCGGGCGGGCUGUGUGCUUCGGAUGGCACAGGGUACUCACAAAAUAUGUCUCCCUUAGUGUCCCACAGAAACAUUCUGGGUGAAAUCUGAAUUAAGUGCUAUGAGUCUUGAUAAAUUGGAGAAGUGCCCAAGAGAAAUUCAUCAUCCUGAGAUACAAAAGGUAGGAAGUGACUUUUUUUGGUUUGGUUCUUUUUCUUUAUUGUUUUCUGGAAAUAGAAGUAAUUAAGUAUAGAUACUACUGGUUUGUUUCUUCCAGUAGCUGAUAAUACUAAUACCAAUAAUAAUAAUAAUAAGAGUAAAGUAAUACUACUUCAACUGUCUUUAUUUAUCCAUUGAACUGGCCAUUUUAAAUCUAAACUUCUAAACACAAAUCAAACCAUCAUCCUUGUAGAAUCUUUAAUAGGAGUGGGCUAAAGAUCCUGGUUUUGUUGACAGGAUUUAUUGGUUCGUGAAGAGCAAGAGGUAAGUACAAGCCUAACUACCCUCUAGCUCACAGACCUGCCCGGUGAAUAGAGCUUUGUUUUUUUGAUGGGCUUGUGAUGACUUUGAGAUCAAUUGCUCAUUCAUUACAGUAAAAAAAAAAAAAUUGUUUUGAACAUGACAGCAAAAAUAACUUUAAGCACAACUUAAUAAUAAUAGAUCACCAAUUUUAGUUAAUAAUUUUAUGCUAUACUCUUGGGUGAGGGAAGACUCGGACACUCAAUAUGAGAUCAGCAAGCUAUGUUUAUUGCAGAGAGUAUCAGACACUUAUAGAGCACAUAAUAAGCUUAUGAAUAUUCUGUAAGCCAAGCGAUCUAUUGGUUAAACUAUACCAUCAACUCUUCCUCAUUCCUUUGGGCCUACAUUCCCUAUUUCCCACGUCUCUCUGUCUACUUGUUAUCCUACCCAGCUAGGCCCAGGCACACGCUGUCUUGCAGGUGCAAAACUCAAAAAUACCUGUGUUCGGUACUUUCCCAGCUCCUGGUCGGCUAACGAGCGAAUGUCUGCGUGACCUCUGUCAUGGAGCCAUUUCUCCACACUAUACUAUCAAAGUUUAAAGGUAAAUUAUUAUAUAUUAGGAGAUGGUGUAAAGUGUAUGUUGUAAUGUGUAGGAUAUAUACAAAGAUACGUACUUGAAAGUCCGAAGAGGAAACAAAUUUUUACGCCUUCUGUUUGACUGUUUGUCAUAUAUUUGGUUUUAUUUCCCAGGGAUCAGUGAAUUUUAACUCUGGAGUCCUCUAUGCUAAGGAUGCUCAGCUUACAGAUGAUGAAAUGUUCAGUAAUGUUUUAUUAUUUUUACCCUGUUAUGUCUGUUUCCUCAGUAUUUGCUGCAGCUCUGCUUACCCAAGGUUUGGGUAAAACAAGCUUUGGGUUCCUUCUGUCUCACUGGGAGUUGCCCAAUUCAGUUGCAUCUGGUGAAAUUCACCCUGAGACCUUACAGAACCAGCUCCAACUACGUGAGAGCCAUUUGCAGUUCUCUCCAGACGCCUGGAGAAUGGGCGACGUUUCUGAGGAUCCGGCGAGCGUGCUUCUGUCAAAACUCAGUCUGUGAAGUUUCUGGGGAAAACCCUUCUGUGUCCUGAAGGGUUCAAACUCUGGUGAGGAUCCAGUUAUCAGGUGCUCACCUGGAUGGUUCCAGCUGCCAAAGGUAACACUUGUACUCUUGCCCUGUAGUUUACAUCUAUUGUAUUUUUGUUAUUUUGCAGGAUUUUUUGUCUUUGCAAAAUAUUGUGCAUUUCACUCUUUGGAACCUCUCAGAUGGUUCUUUGGUGCAGCACCACCCCAUGGGACACUUGGCUGCUGUCCUGAAGGGGAUGGUCGCUAGAAUUGUAAAUCCUGGAGUGUUUAUAAGUCUUCUGUCCCCAGGGAGGUGUCAUGCUUGGUUUACUUUUGUUCUGUUGGUUAGGCGCUGCUUCUCGUUGCAAGUAUGAAUUUCAAACUGCCCUGUUCUUUUUUUAACUGUUUUCCUGGUUCUCUCUGUCCGGCAGGGAAAGACUCUCGUAUCCUUGUCGUCGGGCUCGGUGCUGUCCAAGAAGAUACAGAGACUAAAAAAAUCAUAAGAAGCAAAAUAUGACUGCAGGGAAAAGAAGCUGGAGAGAACAGAAGACUCAUCACGGCGGGACAGCGUGAGGACUGAAAGUGUAAGAAGAUGUGGAGGGAAACAGAGAAUCUGACAGGAGCAGCGAACGCACGAGUGCACGAAUUUUGCUUUUUGCUUGGAUGUAAACUCAGGAGUUGAAAGGAAUUUGGGAGUGAGAAGGGACAUUUCAGAAGGAGAAGAAGAAAA